Molecule: long non-coding RNA, 2072 nt
Filed under: Gossypium barbadense (sea-island cotton)
Lineage: Eukaryota; Viridiplantae; Streptophyta; Magnoliopsida; Malvales; Malvaceae
Description: long non-coding RNA (GBAR_LNC002986)
Source: RNAcentral
AUCAACACAUAUAUAAAAGUAUUAAACAAAUUUUAAAAUAAUAAGUCAUACACAUACAAACUUAAUUAAAAUUAAAUUAAAAUAAAAGGGACAAUUUAUAAAUUCUUGAAAUUAAAUUGAGGACUAAUGCGCAAUGCACGCAAAUGCCAAGGGACUAAAGCUGGAAAUAAUCCAGAUUCCAAAACGCAGUGUUGGUGCGCAGACCAAAUUGCAAAUACGCACAAAUUACAAAGCCAAAUUCAAAAAAUGAAGUAAAAUGCAUAAGGCGCAAUUACAGACUUGUCCGAAAGGGAAGGACCUAAUGUGAAAUUAUCCCCUCUCCGUAGAAACGCGCAGAUCCUAGAGGCGAUCGGGUCGGAUCGAUGUGGGUCGGCUUAAAACGGCUUCGUUUUGGGGCCAUUGACAUAGGCCCUAAACGGUGCCAUUUUAUACACAUAAUUAACACUAAAAAAACUAAAAUUAACACACUCAGCCCUUUAGAAACGAAGAUAAGAAAAUCAAAUACCUUUCCCUUUCACCUUGCAGCCGAACCCUAAUUUCCCCUUCGCUCCAACACCGAUCGGCCACCACAACCAGCGACCUGUAUAUUCUAGGCUCGAAAGGGUGGUUUUUAGCCUCGAGAUUCCCUUUAGGCUUCGAUUUCAACGAAGUGAAAAGGAAUCGAUGGCCAAUUCGCGAGGUAAGGUCUUCCUUUUUCUUUUAUGUUUUUCUUUCUUUUCAAAUGCAACGAUGAAACACCUCAAGAAAUAAACCGAAAGGAAAAAAAACUCAAGAAGUUUAAAUCUAAAAUCACCUUUUUCAAUUUUUGUUUGAUUUCUUUCAAUAUGCGUGUGUAUUUCUGGAAAAAAGAAGAUCCAAUUUACAUCGUUUCAUUCGGUUUUUAUAGCCGAAGAAUCAAUAAAAAUAAAAGGGAAAAAAUAAAUAAAAAAAUCCUUGUUGUAAUCUGUUAUUAUUUGCUGUCAAUUAUUGUUUACUAUUUUCUGUUAUUCUCUUCUCGUACGUGUGGAGGUCGUGGUGCUGUUGACAUGGCCAGGCCGUUCGUAGGCGUGUCGAUGCGGAGCGUGAAGCAACGUCGCGCGUGGAAGCUGGCAUGAAGGCAGCAGCGGUGUAAGGGGGAAAGGGAACCCUAGGGUUCUGAAAAUAUUAAACUUCGGGCCUGGGCUAGUUUUUUUUUGUUAUUGGGCCAUUUAAUUUGUAUUUUGGGCCUUGUUAUUUUGAAUUUUGGGCUUGGAUAUUAUUAUGGACAUUGGACUUUAAUUUUGGUAUUUUUUUAGUUUAUUUUGGUUUUUGUAUGGGCCUGGGCAAAAAUGGGCCAUUACACUUCUAGCCCUAAAAUCUAGGGUGUUACAGCUACACCAAUCCUGUCUUCCACAUUUUUUAUCUUUUAGUCCCAAAAUCAAGCUAUGUCAUUUUGUUUUCAUCUUUAAUAAAUUAUUUACACUUAUAUCUUCCCUUUCAUUUGCAUUUAUACCUUACAUAUUUAAUGUCAAUUAUGCACUUUAUUUUAAUCUUUUCUAUUUAUUCACACUUGUAUAAUUUUUACUUAUUCUUAUUUCGUUUUUAUUUAUUUUCAUGUCUAUUUAUAUUUAUUUUUUUACACAUUCCCCUUACAUACAUUUUAAUAUUAUUUAUUUAUGUUACUCUGAUUCUUUUAUUGUAUUAUGAAAAAGGUGUAUUAUUGUUAUUAUUAUCAUCAUCAUGUUAAGGUCUUAUUUAUUUCAUUUAUUUAAUAUUUCUUUUUAUUAUUGCCAUUUUGAAAGAGUUUUAACUUUUCAUUAACUUUAGCCAAUUUAAUUAUUAUCCUAUUUUAUUACUAUUCAUUUUAAAAGAGGGAACUUUAAGUCAUUUUUUCAUCCUAUAAUUGUUGACGUGAAGUUAGUUAAGUAGGUGUUACAUUUUAAUGAAACUAUAAGGAUUUUACAUUUGGAUUUAAGUUAGUCCUUAAGAUCUUAUCUACCAUUUACCCUAGAAAAAUUAUAAAUAAUAUGUUGGAUUUUUUUAAGGUUUUAAACUAAUUUUAAAUAUCGUAUAGGAUUCCUUUUUAGAAUGUUAAAUUAAUAUGUAAAUAUUCU